GCGGGUGUAGCUCAGUGGUAGAGCACUGCCUUGCCAAGGCAGUUGUCGUGAGUUCAAAUCUCAUCACCCGCU
This 72-nucleotide transfer RNA is filed under the name Planctomycetota bacterium. Its description in RNAcentral is "tRNA-Gly". It matches the Rfam family "tRNA". From Rfam's summary of the family: Transfer RNA (tRNA) molecules are approximately 80 nucleotides in length. The record is from RNAcentral. Lineage: Bacteria; Pseudomonadati; Planctomycetota.